AGAGUUUGAUCCUGGCUCAGAACGAACGCUGGCGGCGUGCUUAACACAUGCAAGUCGAACGCGAAAAUUUUCCUCGGAAAGUGAGUAGAGUGGCGCACGGGUGAGUAACGCGUAAGUUAUCUACCUCGGCAUCCGGAAUAACUCACCGAAAGGUGUGCUAAUACCGGAUACGUUGAGUAAUCAAGAAAGGUGGCCUCUGAAUAUGCUACUGUGCUGAGAUGAGCUUGCGUACCAUUAGCUAGUUGGUAGGGUAAUGGCCUACCAAGGCAACGAUGGUUAGCGGGUCUGAGAGGAUGAUCCGCCACACUGGAACUGAAACACGGACCAGACUCCUACGGGAGGCAGCAGUGAGGAAUAUUGCGCAAUGGGGGAAACCCUGACGCAGCGACGCCGCGUGGAUGAUGAAGGCCUUCGGGUCGUAAAAUCCUGUCAGAUGGAAAGAAAUGCAUGGUGGCUAAUACCUGCCAUGUUUGACGGUACCAUCGAAGGAAGCACCGGCUAACUUCGUGCCAGCAGCCGCGGUAAUACGAAGGGUGCAAGCGUUAAUCGGAAUUACUGGGCGUAAAGCGCGCGUAGGUGGUUCAGUAAGUUGGAAGUGAAAUCCCCGGGCUCAACCUGGGAACUGCUUUCAAAACUGCUGAGCUAGAGUACGGUAGAGGGUGGUGGAAUUUCCUGUGUAGCGGUGAAAUGCGUAGAUAUAGGAAGGAACACCAGUGGCGAAGGCGACCACCUGGACUGAUACUGACACUGAGGUGCGAAAGCGUGGGGAGCAAACAGGAUUAGAUACCCUGGUAGUCC
Molecule: ribosomal RNA, 798 nt
Filed under: uncultured bacterium
Lineage: Bacteria
Description: bacterial SSU rRNA
Rfam family: Bacterial small subunit ribosomal RNA
Source: RNAcentral